UGGAUAACAACCAAAAAAAGAAAAAAAUCAAAUAGUGAACAACAAGUUCAAGAAACGAAUCCCUAUAAAUAAACGUCUUCUAGAGACACAAAAUCAGAAAUCGAAGCAAAUUUCAAUACAAACUUAGAAAGGAAAAGAAAAGAGUUUGAUAUAUAUAUAUAUAUAUAUAUUUACUUCCUUGCAAGGAUGAGUACGGUUUGUGAAGGAAAGAGUUCAUGGCCAGAGCUUGUAGGAAAGGAAGGGAAAGUAGCUGAACAAAUAAUUGAGAGAGAGAACCCUCUUGUGAAUGCUAUUAUUGUGGACGAAGGCUCAUCAGUCAUCUUGAACUUCAGUUGUGAAAGGGUUUGGGUUUGGGUUAACACUUAUGGCAUUGUUGUAAGAGUUCCGAAAAUUGGUUAGGCUCUAUAUAUUUGUGUGCCUCAAAAUGCUUGAGGGAUUGCCUACUUGAUCAUCAAUAGCAAAUAUAUAUGUUCGUUACUAUUUGUGUAGUAUGUAAAAUAAUUCAUGCAAAAGGAAAUAAUUAAGGAGAUGAUCCUAUGUAUUAUUCUCUAUUUGUUAUGUUAAUGAAAAAUAAAUAAGAUAUGCUUUUUGUUGUAAUUUCUUUUA
Ziziphus jujuba (common jujube) is the source of this 606-nucleotide long non-coding RNA. RefSeq lists it as uncharacterized. Lineage: Eukaryota; Viridiplantae; Streptophyta; Magnoliopsida; Rosales; Rhamnaceae. The record is from RefSeq and is a predicted model, not a curated record. The transcript is spliced from 2 exons.